UCUUUUUUAUGGUGGAGAAAAGAAGAUUCAGCGUUAAAAGUACAACGAAUAUAUUAUGGAGGUUUCACUGAGUCACGGUUUAGUGAUAUGAUGUGAGGCUAGUCUCUGCUGGUUAAAUUCUGGUUUAUUGGUUACUGGUAGUAGUUUUACACCAUUCCAGAAAUUCAGAGGGACUGUUAACUCCUGAUGGAAGAUCAAUAUUGAUGGAAAUGAAGGAUAUUAUAAAGGUUUAUACAGACUGCUGUAAUUUAGCUGAAUCAAUGGGAAUCGGUAUAAAUACACAGUUUGAAGUAACCGGUAUAUAUAUCAUCAAUGGUGCAAUAAAUGAACAUGACGAAGCUUUAAUUGAUGACAAUAGUAGUGAAAUAUUCAGUGAAAUAGAUGAUGAUGUAUUUAUAUCUC
Molecule: long non-coding RNA, 402 nt
Organism: Patella vulgata (common limpet)
Lineage: Eukaryota; Metazoa; Mollusca; Gastropoda; Patellidae
Exons: 3
Source: RefSeq, a predicted model, not a curated record